This is a non-coding RNA of Podarcis lilfordi (Lilford's wall lizard), 75 nucleotides long. NCBI's taxonomy places the organism in Eukaryota, Metazoa, Chordata, Lepidosauria, Squamata, Lacertidae. The record is from the annotation of a GenBank genome assembly.
GGAAGGGCUGUAGCUCAGUGGAAGAACAUCUGCUCUGCACUCAGGAGGUCCCGGGUUCAAUCCCCGGGUUCUCCA